This 202-nucleotide non-coding RNA is filed under the name Novosphingobium sp. The record is from RNAcentral. Lineage: Bacteria; Pseudomonadati; Pseudomonadota; Alphaproteobacteria; Sphingomonadales; Sphingomonadaceae.
GGCCGCGCGCACGCCACGGGUUGCCUGCUCGCGUUGACGCGGGGGCAGGCCUAAGAGGGAAGCCGGUUGCAACUCCGGCGCUGCCCCCGCAACUGUGACCGGGGAGCAUCCCCUCCAUUCGCGCCACUGAGCAAUCGGGAAGGCCGGACGGGGAUGCAUCGAUCCGGAAAGCCAGGAGACCUGCCCGGGGUCGUCGUUUGCA